This 75-nucleotide transfer RNA is filed under the name Chloroflexota bacterium. RNAcentral describes it as "tRNA-Thr". It matches the Rfam family "tRNA". From Rfam's summary of the family: Transfer RNA (tRNA) molecules are approximately 80 nucleotides in length. Their secondary structure includes four short double-helical elements and three loops (D, anti-codon, and T loops). The record is from RNAcentral. Lineage: Bacteria; Bacillati; Chloroflexota.
GCCAACGUAGCUCAGUGGCAGAGCAGCGGUUUCGUAAACCGCAGGUCGUGGGUUCGAAUCCCACCGUUGGCUCCA